This is a long non-coding RNA of Prionailurus viverrinus (fishing cat), 473 nucleotides long. RefSeq lists it as uncharacterized. NCBI's taxonomy places the organism in Eukaryota, Metazoa, Chordata, Mammalia, Carnivora, Felidae. The transcript has 5 exons. The record is from RefSeq and is a predicted model, not a curated record.
GGGAGUUGGGGCGCUGGGGCAACGGCUGGCGGGAAGCCGACAAAUGGAGCGGGAGACUCAGGCUGUCCGAGCUCCAGGAGAUGAACUUGGGAUGCUCUGUUUCUCUGAGUCUUCAUAUUCUCAUCUUAUCCAGAAAGUCUCCUCUGACCUCCCCCCGCCAUCAGCUGUGUUAGCUUGGGCUUCAUGAAACAGACUUCCAGAAAGGAGUUUAUUUGGAAAUCAUCCCAGGAAACAUUUGUGUGGAAGGAGUGAAGACAGGAAAGCAAAAGCUGCCAAUAAAAGGGAAUAGGAAGACCUGAGAAGAAGGAGCAAGUUGGGGGAACAGCAGAUAAGGAAAUGCCGAAGCAAGAAGAUGAACCACAGUACAGUAUUCACUAACCCAUGUGCCCGCUUCCAUCUAUAGAACCUGGGAUCCAAGGGAGACCCAUCCCAGCAGGGUUCAUGUGAAGGUUAGAUAAGAAAAUGUGUUUGAA